UACGGACCAUCCAAACGUUAUUCGGAAUUACUGGGCUUAAAGGGUGCGUAGGCGGCGCGGAAAGUUGGGUGUGAAAUCCCUCGGCUUAACCGAGGAAUGGCGCUCAAAACUACCGUGCUUGAGGAAGACAGAGGUGAGCGGAACUUAGGGUGGAGCGGUGAAAUGCGUUGAUAUCCUAAGGAACACCGGUGACGAAAGCGGCUCACUGGGUCUUUUCUGACGCUGAGGCACGAAAGCCAGGGUAGCGAACGGG
This 253-nucleotide ribosomal RNA is filed under the name uncultured bacterium. Its description in RNAcentral is "partial 16S ribosomal RNA". It matches the Rfam family "Bacterial small subunit ribosomal RNA", at positions 524 to 776 of the family's 1533-position model. The record is from RNAcentral.